AAAGUGAGAGCUUGUUUAAUAAAAGCACUUUACUUACGUUGAAGAAUAAAUUGUGGAAGUCAAUUCACUUUA
RNAcentral lists this transfer RNA (72 nucleotides) under Scyra compressipes. RNAcentral describes it as "tRNA-Val". Lineage: Eukaryota; Metazoa; Arthropoda; Malacostraca; Decapoda; Pisidae. The record is from RNAcentral.